AUUGAACGCUGGCGGCAUGCCUUACACAUGCAAGUCGAACGGCAGCACGGGUGCUUGCACCUGGUGGCGAGUGGCGAACGGGUGAGUAAUACAUCGGAACGUACCUUAUCGUGGGGGAUAACGCAGCGAAAGCUGUGCUAAUACCGCAUACGCCCUGAGGGGGAAAGCGGGGGAUCGCAAGACCUCGCGCGAUUAGAGCGGCCGAUGCCUGAUUAGCUUGUUGGUGGGGUAAAAGCCCACCAAGGCGACGAUCGGUAGCUGGUCUGAGAGGACGAUCGGCCACACUGGGACGGAGACACGGCCCAGACUCCUACGGGAGGCAGCAGUGGGGAAUUUUGGACAAUGGGGGCAACCCUGAUCCAGCAAUGCCGCGUGAGUGAAGAAGGCCUUCGGGUUGUAAAGCUCUUUUGUCAGGGAAGAAACACCGGCUCUAACACAGUCCGGGAAUGACGGUACCUGAAGAAUAAGCACCGGCUAACUACGUGCCAGCCGCCGCCGUAA
This 501-nucleotide ribosomal RNA is filed under the name uncultured bacterium. RNAcentral's name for it is "partial 16S ribosomal RNA". It matches the Rfam family "Bacterial small subunit ribosomal RNA", at positions 29 to 523 of the family's 1533-position model. The record is from RNAcentral.